UUCAAACUCACUUAACAUAACAGAACUCAAAAUCCCACAGCUAAUUAGAAGGGAAUUGCUACGUAUAACUUCAUGUCGGAAACAGAUUAAUUACAACCAUCAUAACAAACAUUCACUAUAUUGAACAGACCCAGAAUCAUGCAAUAUUGACAUAAUAGCGCUAAGAUAGAGAGCCAAGAUUUGCUAAAGCCAUGUUUGAUAUUAUCAUUUCAUACUGCAAGUCAGAUUUCAUACAUGGUUUAAAAUUCAGAAAAUGUGUACCUGGAAAGAAAAAUAAGAGACAAGGAAGAGGAUCAACACAACAGAGUAGGGUCAACAGCAGAAAUAACUAGUGAAAAUCAUAUUGAACCAAU
Molecule: long non-coding RNA, 353 nt
Filed under: Nicotiana benthamiana
Lineage: Eukaryota; Viridiplantae; Streptophyta; Magnoliopsida; Solanales; Solanaceae
Description: long non-coding RNA (NBEN_LNC021025)
Source: RNAcentral